Molecule: long non-coding RNA, 707 nt
Organism: Austrofundulus limnaeus
Lineage: Eukaryota; Metazoa; Chordata; Actinopteri; Cyprinodontiformes; Rivulidae
Exons: 2
Source: RefSeq, a predicted model, not a curated record
GCAGCUCAAUAAAUCUGUCCAAAGUUAACAAAGUUGAUGUGAAUGUGUUUCGCGUCGUUAUGAAAAUACUUGUGGAUUAAUCAAACGGACAUGCGCACUGGCGUCCGACUGGAUGGACGCAGCUGCUCGAUAUCGGAUUUGUAGUGUUUUCAUGAUGAGGCGAACCGUAGAUCUCUUAACAAGAUUUUUCUUUAUUUGUUUUGUUUUUAACCACAGCUAUUAUAACCCUCUGCAGCGUAAACAAACCUAUAUACGACGUUGUUGCACAUAUUUUUUUUCCACCAAUGGACUCUGUUAGUAAAAGGAAAUCUCAGAUAUUGCAGCGCUGCAGAUCAGUUUAAAACUACCCAGAUCAACGCAGCAAAAGCAUACUCUCAGUUAAUUUCAAAUUUAAAAUGCAGAACAUCUAUUUUUUGUUUGUUUGAUUGUUUUCUUCAUUUGUCGCAAAACCACAGAGAAAAUACUGUAUGUCCAUUUAAACGCGUUUGUGUUGUAAUGUCAGUAUAACAAUAGAAAUUGAGUUUAGGAGUUACCACUGUUCAACAGCAGGGGGCGCAGUGGAUCACUAACAGCGGAGAGAGGCGGAAAAUGAACCUUUUACAUCGAAAGAAAGACACAGAAAUGACAAGAGCAUUAAUUUAACCAGGUUAUGUUGUUUAUUCUAACUAUUUAUUAGAAAUAAAAAUAAAACAAUGAAAUGUGCUGUA